GGCGGUGUAGCUCAGUUGGUUAGAGCGCAGGACUCAUAAGCCUGAGGUCACUGGUUCAAUUCCAGUCACCGCUACCA
RNAcentral lists this transfer RNA (77 nucleotides) under Candidatus Nomurabacteria bacterium. RNAcentral's name for it is "tRNA-Met". It matches the Rfam family "tRNA". Rfam says of the family: Transfer RNA (tRNA) molecules are approximately 80 nucleotides in length. Their secondary structure includes four short double-helical elements and three loops (D, anti-codon, and T loops). Further hydrogen bonds mediate the characteristic L-shaped molecular structure. tRNAs have two regions of fundamental functional importance: the anti-codon, which is responsible for specific mRNA codon recognition, and the 3' end, to which the tRNAs corresponding amino acid is attached (by aminoacyl-tRNA synthetases). tRNAs cope with the degeneracy of the genetic code in two manners: having more than one tRNA (with a specific anti-codon) for a particular amino acid; and 'wobble' base-pairing, i.e. permitting non-standard base-pairing at the 3rd anti-codon position. Lineage: Bacteria; Candidatus Nomuraibacteriota. RNAcentral also lists the same sequence under 1 other name. The record is from RNAcentral.